AGGGGUUCGUAUCCCUCCGUCUCAGACGACCGCUGGCGGCGUGCCUAAUACAUGCAAGUCGAGUGGACCAAUGAAGAGCUUGCUCUUCGGCGGUUAGCGGCGGACGGGUGAGUAACACGUAGGCAACCUGCCUGUACGACUGGGAUAACUCCGGGAAACCGGAGCUAAUACCGGAUACUUCUUUCAGACCGCAUGGUCUGAAAGGGAAAGACCUUUGGUCACGUACAGAUGGGCUUGCGGCGCAUUAGCUAGUUGGUGGGGUAACGGCCUACCAAGGCGACGAUGCGUAGCCGACCUGAGAGGGUGAUCGGCCACACUGGGACUGAGACACGGCCCAGACUCCUACGGGAGGCAGCAGUAGGGAAUCUUCCGCAAUGGACGAAAGUCUGACGGAGCAACGCCGCGUGAACGAUGAAGGUUUUCGGAUCGUAAAGUUCUGUUGUUAGGGAAGAACCGCCGGGAUGACCUCCCGGUCUGACGGUACCUAACGAGAAAGCCCCGGCUAACUACGUGCCAGCAGCCGCGGUAAUACGUAGGGGGCAAGCGUUGUCCGGAAUUAUUGGGCGUAAAGCGCGCGCAGGCGGCUUCUUAAGUCAGGUGUGAAAGCCCACGGCUCAACCGUGGAGGGCCACUUGAAACUGGGAAGCUUGAGUGCAGGAGAGGAGAGCGGAAUUCCACGUGUAGCGGUGAAAUGCGUAGAGAUGUGGAGGAACACCCGUGGCGAAGGCGGCUCUCUGGCCUGUAACUGACGCUGAGGCGCGAAAGCGUGGGGAGCGAACAGGAUUAGAUACCCUGGUAGUCCACGCCGUAAACGUUGAGUGCUAGGUGUUGGGGACUCCAAUCCUCAGUGCCGCAGCUAACGCAAUAAGCAUCCGCCUGGGAGACGCGCAGUCAUCUAUCCAAUCUGAGGG
Molecule: ribosomal RNA, 911 nt
Filed under: Aneurinibacillus migulanus
Lineage: Bacteria; Bacillati; Bacillota; Bacilli; Caryophanales; Paenibacillaceae
Description: bacterial SSU rRNA
Rfam family: Bacterial small subunit ribosomal RNA
Source: RNAcentral